RNAcentral lists this ribosomal RNA (431 nucleotides) under Bacillus cereus. RNAcentral describes it as "bacterial LSU rRNA". It matches the Rfam family "Bacterial large subunit ribosomal RNA", at positions 1 to 420 of the family's 2925-position model. The record is from RNAcentral. Lineage: Bacteria; Bacillati; Bacillota; Bacilli; Caryophanales; Bacillaceae.
GUUUGGUUAAGUUAGAAAGGGCGCACGGUGGAUGCCUUGACACUAGGAGUCGAUGAAGGACGGGACUAACGCCGAUAUGCUUCGGGGAGCUGUAAGUAAGCUUUGAUCCGAAGAUUUCCGAAUGGGGAAACCCACYAUACGUAAUGGUAUGGUAUCCUUAUCUGAAUACAUAGGGUAAGGAAGACAGACCCAGGRAACUGAAACAUCUAAGUACCUGGAGGAAGAGAAAGCAAAUGCGAUUUCCUGAGUAGCGGCGAGCGAAACGGAACAUAGCCCAAACCAAGAGGCUUGCCUCUUGGGGUUGUAGGACAUUCUAUACGGAGUUACAAAGGAACGAGGUAGACGAAGCGACCUGGAAAGGUCCGUCGUAGAGGGUAACAACCCCGUAGUCGAAACUUCGUUCUCUCUUGAAUGUAUCCUGAGUACGGCGG